UGGUGGAGUGAUUUGUCUGGUUAAUUCCGAUAACGAACGAGACCUUAACCUGCUAAAUAGCCAGGCCGGCUUUGGCUGGUCGCGGGCUUCUUAGAGGGACUGUUGGCGUCUAGCCGACGGAAGUUUGAGGCAAUAACA
RNAcentral lists this ribosomal RNA (138 nucleotides) under uncultured eukaryote. Its description in RNAcentral is "partial 18S ribosomal RNA". It matches the Rfam family "Eukaryotic small subunit ribosomal RNA", at positions 1299 to 1458 of the family's 1831-position model. The record is from RNAcentral.